CCUACGUGUGGCAGCAGUGAGGAAUAUUGGUCAAUGGGCGCAAGCCUGAACCAGCCAAGUAGCGUGAAGGACGACUGCCCUACGGUUUGUAAACUUCUUUUAUAAAGGAAUAAAGUCAGGCACGUGCGCCUUUCUGUAUGUACUUUAUGAAUAAGCAUCGGCUAACUCCGUGCCCUCAGCCGCGGUCAUCCGGAGGGUCCGAGCGUUUUCCGGAUUUCUUUGGUUUAAAGGGAGCGUAGAUGGGCUGUUAAGUCAGUUGUGAAAGUUUGGGGCUCAACCGUAGAAGUGCGAGUGAUACUGGCAGUCUGGAGAGCAGGUGAGGUAGGUGGAAUUCGGGGUGUAGCGGUGAAAUGCUUAGAUAGAACGAAGAACUCCGAUUGCGAAGGCAGCUUACUAAACUGGAACUGACAUUGAGGCUCGAAAGUGUGGGUAUCAAACAGGAUUAGAUACCCUUGUAGUC
This 460-nucleotide ribosomal RNA is filed under the name uncultured bacterium. RNAcentral's name for it is "partial 16S ribosomal RNA". It matches the Rfam family "Bacterial small subunit ribosomal RNA", at positions 338 to 795 of the family's 1533-position model. The record is from RNAcentral.